GACGAACGCUGGCGGCGUGCUUAACACAUGCAAGUCGAACGGAAAGGCCCUGAUUUUGUGGGGUGCUCGAGUGGCGAACGGGUGAGUAACACGUGAGUAAACUGCCCUUGACUUUGGGAUAACUUCAGGAAACUGGGGCUAAUACCGGAUAGGAGCUCCUGCUGCAUGGUGGGGGUUGGAAAGUUUCGGCGGUUGGGGAUGGACUCGCGGCUUAUCAGCUUGUUGGUGGGGUAGUGGUUUACCAAGGCUUUGACGGGUAGCCGGCCUGAGAGGGUGGCCGGCGACAAUGGGCCUGAGAUACGGCCCAGACGCCAACGUGCCGCAGCGGUGGAGAAUAUUGCACAGUGGGCGGAAGCGAGAGGCAGCAGCGCUGCGAGCGGGAUGACGGCUUACGGGUUGUAAACAGCUUUCGCCUGUGACGAAGCGUGAGUGACGGUAAUGGGUAAGAAAGCACCGGCUAACUACGUG
This 468-nucleotide ribosomal RNA is filed under the name uncultured bacterium. RNAcentral's name for it is "partial 16S ribosomal RNA". It matches the Rfam family "Bacterial small subunit ribosomal RNA", at positions 28 to 507 of the family's 1533-position model. The record is from RNAcentral.